Marmota flaviventris (yellow-bellied marmot) is the source of this 547-nucleotide long non-coding RNA. RefSeq lists it as uncharacterized. Lineage: Eukaryota; Metazoa; Chordata; Mammalia; Rodentia; Sciuridae. The record is from RefSeq and is a predicted model, not a curated record.
CACACACGGACCAUGUCCUACCUUUUUAACUUUGGAAAGCAGGCACAAUUUUAUCCUUAGAACCAGGAGGGUAGGAAUCAUGUUAUGGAAAUUUUGCACUGCACAGAACGAGGAAGAUCAUCUAGUGCUUGCUCAACAAGCCCCGAGGCCCUCUUUGUCAUUGUCCAAAGUUGGUGUUUGAAUAUGGCUAAGAAUAAGCAAGACACAAUGGGUUUUGCAAAAGAAACAAGAGAAAAUGAGAAACCAUUAUGAAAUUGGAUCGGGGGAACCUUAAAAAUAACCCAAUACUAUCCUCUCGUUCUGCACAGAUGGACAAUUUGAUCCCAGUAUGCGGUAACUUGAGUGGAAACACAGUGGAUCACUGGAAGUAGCUGUAAGACAAGCACCAGCCUCUGUUUCCCAAACUAGUGCUAUUCCCAUCGAACCUCACCACCUUUUACUGGAAGAAUAUCAUUAGAACUUUGUCUUUUCUCAUCUUCCCUCAUAAAUCUGGCCCUCGAAUCUUUCAAUCAUUUUUAUUCUCUUUCAACUAAUCUCUAAGAUUUCA